UACGUAGGGUCCGAGCGUUGUCCGGAAUUAUUGGGCGUAAAGAGCUCGUAGGCGGUUGGGUAAGUCGGGUGUGAAAACUCAGGGCUCAACUCUGAGACGCCACUCGAUACUGCCCUGACUCGAGUCCGGUAGGGGAGCGUGGAAUUCCCGGUGUAGCGGUGAAAUGCGCAGAUAUCGGGAGGAACACCAGUGGCGAAGGCGGCGCUCUGGGCCGGAACUGACGCUGAGGAGCGAAAGCGUGGGUAGCAAACAGG
This 254-nucleotide ribosomal RNA is filed under the name uncultured bacterium. Its description in RNAcentral is "partial 16S ribosomal RNA". It matches the Rfam family "Bacterial small subunit ribosomal RNA", at positions 524 to 776 of the family's 1533-position model. The record is from RNAcentral.